This 253-nucleotide ribosomal RNA is filed under the name uncultured bacterium. Its description in RNAcentral is "partial 16S ribosomal RNA". It matches the Rfam family "Bacterial small subunit ribosomal RNA", at positions 524 to 776 of the family's 1533-position model. The record is from RNAcentral.
UACAGAGGUCCCAAGCGUUGUUCGGAUUCAUUGGGCGUAAAGGGUGCGUAAGUGGCGCGGUAAGUCGGGUGUGAAAUUUCGGAGCUUAACUCCGAAACUGCAUUCGAUACUGCCGUGCUUGAGGACUGGAGAGGAGACUGGAAUUUACGGUGUAGCAGUGAAAUGCGUAGAUAUCGUAAGGAAGACCAGUGGCGAAGGCGGGUCUCUGGACAGUUCCUGACACUGAGGCACGAAGGCCAGGGGAGCAAACGGG